AUGGCGGCGGCGGCCAACUGGGUUCCCAUGGGCGACGGCCUCCGCCUGGAGACGGCGAGGGCGGUGGCCAAGGCGCACGGCGUUCCCCUCGACGUGGUGCUCAAGGGCUGCUACGUGGACGCGGUGGACGGGCCGGACGGCUUCCCGGAUCUCCACGGCGUGGAGGACCACGUCACGGUCACCAAUCAGGCCGACGGGCGGCAUCUCAUCAAGUUCGCCAACUACGAUGCCUUCGAAGCAGCCUGCGAGGCGCCGACGGCCCCGGGACAGCAGGAGGAGCAGGACGACGCCAGGCUCACCGUGGUCAUCAUGCCCUACGCCGACCACGACUCGUGCGACAAGCUCCAGGAUCUGGCGGCGUAUCCCGAGUUUGGGUACGCCAAGAUCGACGUAGCCAACUACGACAUGCUGCUGUGGAAGAAGAGAGACAUGGCCGCCCUCAACGAGGAAGCGGACAAGUGCCGCCAGCUCGGCACCGAGAUGGAGAUGAUGGUGAGAAGGCUCCUUCCGGCGGACAAGUGGCGCCGGCUGGGGACGGGGAGCGGCGACGGCAAGAUCGCCAGGGAAAGGCUGCUGAAAUCGCACCUCGACGCCAGGCGGUAUGGGGACGCGCACGAGCUGCUCCUGCUGCUCGACAAGGGGAAGCACGACGCCUUCUUCGGAGUGGCCGGGUGCUACGACCCGUGCCGCCCCGGUGACAACGCUGCUUCGGGUGAUCGUGCCGCCGCAGAGAAACAGGCGACCGCCGAUCUCCUCGAGCGCUACAAAGAGGAGCUAGACGAAAGAUAUGGUGCUCACCCACUACACCCGUAUCCCGAGCGCGCAGAUAUCCUCAAGAUGGAGGCCCGGAACAAGCUCAGAAGGGAAUUGGCCAACGCGCGCAGGGAGGUUCAAGACAUUGUUGAGACUGCAACACGAGAGAUCGAGCGUAUAGCUGACCAACUCGAAGCCAUGGGGGUCGAGCCUAGACUUCUUGGCUGCGGCAUAUGA
Molecule: ribosomal RNA, 990 nt
Filed under: Triticum aestivum (bread wheat)
Lineage: Eukaryota; Viridiplantae; Streptophyta; Magnoliopsida; Poales; Poaceae
Description: partial small subunit ribosomal RNA
Source: RNAcentral